Amphiprion ocellaris (clown anemonefish) is the source of this 5668-nucleotide long non-coding RNA. RefSeq lists it as uncharacterized. The record is from RefSeq and is a predicted model, not a curated record. The transcript is spliced from 2 exons. NCBI's taxonomy places the organism in Eukaryota, Metazoa, Chordata, Actinopteri, Pomacentridae.
GCCAGCCAGCUGUAGUCCACACCAGUCUUCAGGCGUCGGUACUCAUUCUCCCUCUCCUUCUGCAGCCUCUCAGCCUCCUUCAGCUGCCAGCUGAACUCCACCAUCAGGGUGUCGGUGACCACGUCGGAUGGGUCCCGGCGGGGCGUCCGGUAAUAAGGCUCAUUCCAGUUGAACCAGGAGGCCAUUGUCCUCCUUCACCGUCCCCUGAAGAUAGACAACCAGAGGGAGGCAUCGCAGAGAUGUGAUGAGCCUGAAAUGUGAGACCAAAACAACACUACAGAGCUGUUACACUGAACAUGUAAUUGCCUGAAGAGGUUGUUUCCUUCCACUAGUAGUGCUAGCUUAAAGGGAUCAUUGGAUUUGCUCUGCCAUAUAAUAGUUUAAGGUCUUGACCUUACUAUGGGAGGUACCCUGAGGUGACUUAUGUUGUGGACUGGAGCUUUAUAAACAAAACUGAACAUGUUCUUCACUUUUCUCUUCUUUCUCAUUGCACUGACACAGCACUCAUUUUUCAAAGAAAACAUUAACACUGCAUAAUUUUGCAUCAAUUGAAACAUGACAUCCUCUGAAGUGUGUUUCACAUCUGGACAUAUUCCCCAAAGAGAGCGUCCUUCGUCUCAUCCUCCAUCGGCUCUUUGUUCCACAGGUGUCAUAUCAGCUCCCUCACCGACCAACACUGAGUCUUUUGUUUGCAUGUUGUUUGUUGGGUUUUUUGGGUGAACGUACAACAAAACACAACACUGAUUCAUGUAUUGUGAGUUGUUAAUUAAAAUUACAAGCUUUAAUUAGGUUUCAUAAUACAAAUGUUUCUUAAAUGUGAAUAUUUGCUGCUGUUCUUUUAUGAUAGUAAACUGAAAAAAGCCACACUUUGUCCGGUUCCUGUCAAAUGUGAGGAUUAGCUGCUGUUCUUUCUUAUGUAUUACUGUGAGGUUAAUGGGGACUGUUGGUCAAACAAAAUAAGCUAUUUUAAAAUCUCACCUUGAUCUCAGGUAAAUUGCAUGAACAUUUUUUCAUUAAAGAUUUGCCAAUGUUUAAAAUAAUUCUUAUUUGAAGAAAAAAUUUGAAUUAGACUUUGGACUGUUCAAAGACAAGCAAAUUGAAGAAAUUAGUGUAAUUAAGUGGGUAUUUUUCCCUUUUUGAUAUAUUCUGUUAUGUUAGAUUAAGAAAAAUAAUAGAAAAGUUAACUGAUGAUAAAAAUAACAAAAACCAUGAUCCUCAAAAGAUUUUCAGAAGCACCAUUUUAUAAAACUUGCACAGUCAAUGUCUUAAUGGCAACAGGCUACACACCUUUUUAUGUUGCACCUGCACAUGUUUGCUGUUUUUUAUGCUUUUAAAUUUAGAUUCAUUUUUGGCUGUUUAGUAACUGCCCUCUCUUUUUAUUUGUGGCUUAAUCCUUUUGUCCUCCAAACCACAGCUGCUUGGUGUUGCUCAGCUGUUAUAAAAUGUUGUGUUGCUGUGGACUUUAAAAGCUGGAAAGGAAGGAGUUUCAGUCAGGCUUCAGAGUGCAUCAUAGCACAGAAACAGCUCUGGUGAAAGUCACUAAUGACCUUCUCAUAGCGUCAGAUAAUCGACUGGUCUCUAGACUUGUUUUGUUGGACCUUGGUGCAGCAUUUGACACCAUCAACCACAAACUUUUAUUACAGCGACUAGAACAUUCUUUUGGCAUUAAAAGGACAGUACUGUUGGAGUCCGCAUGUACAGUGCACAACUGACUUCUUCUUUGACAUCCCUUAGUUAUCUGAGGAUCUGUGGUUGUUCUCCCACCAACUGACUUAGUCUCCAUCAUGUCCACUGUGGGACACUGCUGCUGACCUUCCUCCAGUCCACUGCUUCCAGCUGCCCAUUUCCACCAGUCUACUCUGCAUCGCCCUUACUAUACAUGAUAUGCUCAUAUACACACUGUUUGCAUCUUACUACCAGCUAUAUAUGUAGCAUAUUUAAUGCCAGAGCCUUACACCAUAACAGUAAGCUUAAGAAUCAGUUUCCAUGUUGGCUUUUACUUUGUACGCAUCAUCUAUGUUACUGUGAUCAUGCAUGUAUGCCACCUCUUCUGUCCCUCUCUACCCAGCCAGCCAGCAGCAGAUGGGUCCCCCAUAUGAAUCGGAUUCUGCUCAAGGUUUCUUCCUGUUAAAAGGGAAUUUUUUUCUUGCCACUGUCGUGUCAGAUCUUCUUCUGGGGAUUCAGGCUAUAUGGGUUCUGUAAAGUGUCUUGAGACAAUCUGAAUUGUAAUUGCCGCUAUAUGAAUAAAAUUGAAUUGAAUUUGUCAGGAUUAACAAACACAGCAACAGGGUGAGAUUAGUGACAGACCUGGUCCUCUAUGUCCUCAUCGGUUUAACUCUGUGGUGACUAAGCCUGUAAAAUGGAGCCAAAACAGGCAUCUGAGAAGUGCAACUGCACGAUAGAUGCAUUAAAAUAUGCUUUAAUGGAUGUAUUUGAAUAGGGUUUUUUUUUAUAGAAGCAAUGAAUAAGAAGAAUCAAAAUAGGAACAGGGUGUACCUAAAUCAGUUUAUUAUCAGUUGAUUUAAUUUUUCAGUUUAUCAACUAAUUGUUUGCCCCAUAACAGAUGAAAAAAAAUCUGACACAGCUUCCUGAAUUCAUCAGGUGUCCAAAAAUAUUUACUAUAUAUUUCAUAUAAAAUUUACCAUCAAGCAAGAUCAAGAAAAUCAGCAAAUCCUCACUUAUGCUUUAUGCUUUUAUAUCUACUCUAUUUUAUUUGACUGUUUUAUUUUGCCUGUAAAAUGUGUCUGAGUGCCCAGAAAAGCAUUACACAAAUCAAAUGUAUUUGAUUAUUAUUAUCAUUAUUAUUAUUGAUAUCAGAAUGUAGUGCAGAAGAAAAACACAUUUCUUGCCUUGAACUUUCUUUUGAAAUUCCAUUUUGCUCAAAUAUACAUUUCUCAUCUCAUCAAGGUUCAAAAAAUAGGCUUUGUUUUUGAGAGGUACAUUUAAAGCAGUUUGUUGCUGUUUGAAUUAAGAAUGAACAGUUGUUUUUUUGUUUUUUUUUUUUUUUAAAAGUAUUUUCUUACCUCCUUUUCUUUUCCCUAAGUUUGUCUUAGACUCCACAAGAAAAGAAGAAAAACCGCCUUUGAGCAGAAUUACAAAGGAAGUCCUGAGAAAGCAGAAGGCUGGAUGGAUGCUCAGAGAGACGAGACAGUGUGAGAGAUAAGCAGAGAGAGAAGAGAAAUGGUUACUAUCUCCUUCCUCUGCUGUCAGUAUUAUCUCCACCUCUCUCCUCCUCCCGGGAGCCUCUCCGGCCUGCCUUUACUUGUUGCUGGAGGUUGGGGGCACCAUCUCCAAUGGGAGCCGUUGGAUCACGGCCCCUGAUGAAGUGCUUGUGUAGCUUUUUUACGAUUCGCCGUUGCCAUAGCAAUGCUGCUAAGCCUAUUUGUCCACAAUAAGCUCCAUCAGCUGAAAGGGAGCUAGAGAGCGAUGAAGAGGCAGAUAAAGAGGACAGAGUGGGCCGAGCGGCGCGAUGGAGAGAGAGAGAGAUAAAUCAAAGUAUGUUGUUUCUGAGGACAGAGAUUCUGUGAUGUGGGCUCGGUUUGGAGCUGCAGCAUCUGCGAGAGAUCACCCCGUGUCAAUUAACCUCCCACAGAUAAUGAGAGCCGCUGGUUGGCAACAGUCGUGCAUGAGUAGCAGGAUGGUUGGAGAUGUGCUAAUUACAUCAGGAAGUGUUUGCAGAGGACAGAGGAGCAGAGAGAAAGAGUCCAGACUGGAUGUGUAGUCGUCGUGUGGGUGGAUAUCAAGGUUUGCUGGUUCAUUCUGCGUGUAGGUGUGAGCAGCUAACCUCAGACGGUUUCCUCCUGCACAUAUUCUUAAAAUCUUCAUCACACCUCCAGCACAGCACCAUCCUCCUCCUCUUCCUCCUCCUCCUCAGUGUUACUCUGCCAGAGAAAACGCUGGGUGAACUAUGAACUCUGCUCAGUCACAGCAGAAACAUCCACCAGCGAGUGCAGAAAAUCGGUGUGAUUUCCAGAGUGUCAUCUUGCAUUUUUAAAAAAAAAGAAUUCAGCCUAUUUAAAAUUCAUUAGUGCAUAAUACUGGAAGAGCGGCACCAACACUGACGAUUUCCCUUGAGUGAAAUUUUAAAAAACAUUCACCACCCCCAUAAAAAUUGAACAAAAAUAUAAACGCAGCAUGCAAAAGGUCUUCUUUGCUGGCUCGGAGGAAAAGUUAAAAAUUUGAUUUCUGUUUUUGUGUUCAGAAAAGGGUUACAUUUAGCCAAAAAAAAGACAAAUUCUCAACAAUCUUUGGCUGUAAAGGAUCAGACAGUGUAACCAGAUGCUCCUUUAACAAGUCCACCUUAAAAUGCAGCUUUAUUUAAAUGGCAUGAUGGCACAGAUGACAAGAGAAUGAGUUGUUGGCAUGUUGGAUGGGGAUGUAGUCAGACAAUUGAAUGUCCACAACUGUACCAUUUGUCAUCUAAGAAAUAAUUUCAGACAUAAAUGGAGGUGUCCCAAAAAUGUCCAUCAACUUCACCAAGCCCUAUAGAGCAAAAUAUGACACGAGAAAGAGGAAAAUGAGUUGUCGUUGGCUGAUGGAUGCUGGUAUGUCAAAUAGAGCUGAAACAAGGAACUCAGAUGCCAACAAGUCCACCAUCUGUCACUUAAGAAAUAGCUUCAGAGAACAUGCUACCUCCCACAAUGUAAAGACGUGUCAACACCCAAGCUCUAGAACGUCACAUCAGGCUUGCUAAUAGGUGAAAUUGAUUGCGAUCAGCUGCAUAAAUUGCUGAUGAAUUUGUCAGUGCGCACAACCAGAGAAUAUCUGUGAAGAACUGCCUGGCAGGAAGCUGGUCUGUGAUGUCGUCGGUCACACUAAUGGUACGUGUCCACUGGGGCGUUUUUUUCUCGCAUGGAAACGCAUCAUAUCUGAGUUGGGAUUUAGUAUGGGUUAGAUCCCUCUGCUUCUAACCUCCUCAAGUAUGUUUUAUUGGAAGGUGCAGAUAAGAAGCAAUUACAGGCAAAAGCUAAUAGAAAAAAAACAUUCAUUUCCAAGAAUAUGAUUGAAACAUUUGCAUUGUGUCAGUGGCUUAGCUGUCUGUAAGUGUAAUGUUUACGUAUUGAAAACAUAUAUGAAAAUUUGUAUCCUAAAUCUCAAUUUGGUCUUAAAAUAGAUUCAAAAAUGAAUACUGAGAAGCUUCAGUUUGUUGUAAUCAUUCAUCCUGAUUAUACCGACCUGUACGAAAUCCCUUCGUGAUGUAUUUUCACCAUAUGUGAUAGAGGACAAAAUCUACACUCUUAAGAAAUAUUUGAGUGAGGUGCAUUAGAAAGAGAUCCUUUAUGAGCAACAGGAUUAACUACAACAAGUAAAACCAGUUUAACCGGACACAUGAGCUGUUUUUAGACAAAAAUGUGAACCAAUCCUUUAAUCAAAGAUAUGAUUUUAAUAAUUUCAAUGUUUCUUUUCAUGUAGCCCACAUUACUGUCCUUUUCUAUCUCCACAAUCCCUUCACCCCGACCUGUUGAGGCCUUUCUGAGCCAGUUUCUCCACUGAAAGGGAGUUUUUUCUUCUCACCAUCCCCUAGUGCCUACUUAAAGGUAAUCAUUGGAUUUGUUGUGUUUUCUCGCUAUAAUUUAAUACUGUAAGUGCUUGACCUUACUAUGUGACAUGUUCUCAGAUGUCAUACACUGUAAAGUGGUGCUACGUAAAUAAAGCUGAAUUGAAUUUC